UAUGAGGGCAAUCUGGCUGCGACAUCUGUCACCCCACUGAUCACCAGGGUUGAAUGUGCUGAUCUGGCUGGCUGAGGGGAUGACCACCCCCAUAGA
Molecule: small RNA, 96 nt
Filed under: Chinchilla lanigera (long-tailed chinchilla)
Lineage: Eukaryota; Metazoa; Chordata; Mammalia; Rodentia; Chinchillidae
Description: 7SK RNA (ENSCLAG00000020672.1)
Rfam family: 7SK RNA
About the family: 7SK was discovered as an abundant small nuclear RNA in the mid-70s but a possible function has only recently been suggested. Two independent studies have found that 7SK RNA binds the CDK9/cyclin T complex (known as elongation factor P-TEFb).
Source: RNAcentral